UUGACGGGGCCCGCACAAGCGGAGGAACUAUGUGGUUAAUUCGAUGAUACGCGAGGAACCUUACCUGGGCUUAAAUGUAGAGUGCAUUUUUUAGAGAUAGAAAUUCCCUUCGGGGCUUUCUGCAAGGUGCUGCAUGGUUGUCGUCAGCUCGUGCCGUGAGGUGUCGGGUUAAGUCCCAUACGAGCGCAACCCUUAUCGUUAGUUGCCAGCUGGUAAAGCAGGGGACUCUAGCGAAACUGCCACCGUAAGGUGAGAGGAAGUGGGGAUGACGUCAAAUCAGCACGGCCCUUAUGUCCAGGGCUACACACGUGUUACAAUGGCCGGCACAGAGGGCAGCUACCUGGUGACAGGACGCUAAUCUCGAAAACCGGUCUCAGUUCGGAUCGAAGUCUGCAACUCGACUUCGUGAAGCUGGAUUCGCUAGUAAUCGCGCAUCAGCCAUGGCGCGGUGAAUACGUUCCCGGGCCUU
Molecule: ribosomal RNA, 469 nt
Filed under: uncultured Sphingobacteriales bacterium
Lineage: Bacteria; Pseudomonadati; Bacteroidota; Sphingobacteriia; Sphingobacteriales
Description: bacterial SSU rRNA
Rfam family: Bacterial small subunit ribosomal RNA
Source: RNAcentral